UAACUGAACCUUCGGGGAACGUUAAGGGCGUCGAGCGGCGGACGGGUGAGUAAUGCCUAGGAAGUUGCCCAGUAGAGGGGGAUAACCAUUGGAAACGAUGGCUAAUACCGCAUAACCUCUUCGGAGCAAAGCAGGGGACCUUCGGGCCUUGCGCUAUUGGAUACGCCUAGGUGGGAUUAGCUAGUUGGUGAGGUAAGGGCUCACCAAGGCGACGAUCCCUAGCUGGUCUGAGAGGAUGAUCAGCCACACUGGAACUGAGACACGGUCCAGACUCCUACGGGAGGCAGCAGUGGGGAAUAUUGCACAAUGGGCGAAAGCCUGAUGCAGCCAUGCCGCGUGUGUGAAGAAGGCCUUCGGGUUGUAAAGCACUUUCAGCAGUGAGGAAGGUGGUAAGAUUAAUACUCUUAUCAUUUGACGUUAGCUGCAGAAGAAGCACCGGCUAACUCCGUGCCAGCAGCCGCGGUAAUACGGAGGGUGCGAGCGUUAAUCGGAAUUACUGGGCGUAAAGCGCAUGCAGGUGGUGAAUUAAGUCAGAUGUGAAAGCCCGGGGCUCAACCUCG
Molecule: ribosomal RNA, 560 nt
Filed under: Vibrio sp. sw_chik_2
Lineage: Bacteria; Pseudomonadati; Pseudomonadota; Gammaproteobacteria; Vibrionales; Vibrionaceae
Also listed under: 1 other name
Description: bacterial SSU rRNA
Rfam family: Bacterial small subunit ribosomal RNA
Source: RNAcentral